This 74-nucleotide transfer RNA is filed under the name Candidatus Rokuibacteriota bacterium. Its description in RNAcentral is "Candidatus Rokubacteria bacterium tRNA-Met". It matches the Rfam family "tRNA". From Rfam's summary of the family: Transfer RNA (tRNA) molecules are approximately 80 nucleotides in length. Their secondary structure includes four short double-helical elements and three loops (D, anti-codon, and T loops). Further hydrogen bonds mediate the characteristic L-shaped molecular structure. tRNAs have two regions of fundamental functional importance: the anti-codon, which is responsible for specific mRNA codon recognition, and the 3' end, to which the tRNAs corresponding amino acid is attached (by aminoacyl-tRNA synthetases). tRNAs cope with the degeneracy of the genetic code in two manners: having more than one tRNA (with a specific anti-codon) for a particular amino acid; and 'wobble' base-pairing, i.e. permitting non-standard base-pairing at the 3rd anti-codon position. Lineage: Bacteria; Candidatus Rokuibacteriota. The record is from RNAcentral.
CGUCGGGUGGAGUGGCGUCUGUGUCUGGGCUCAUAACCCAAAGGUCGUCGGUUCAAAUCCGACCCCCGCAACCA